CGUGUGAGUAACACGUGGAUAACCUACCUAUAAGACUGGGAUAACUUCGGGAAACCGGAGCUAAUACCGGAUAAUAUUUUGAACCGCAUGGUUCAAAAGUGAAAGACGGUCUUGCUGUCACUUAUAGAUGGAUCCGCGCUGCAUUAGCUAGUUGGUAAGGUAAUGGCUUACCAAGGCAACGAUGCAUAGCCGACCUGAGAGGGUGAUCGGCCACACUGGAACUGAGACACGGUCCAG
Molecule: ribosomal RNA, 237 nt
Filed under: uncultured Staphylococcus sp.
Lineage: Bacteria; Bacillati; Bacillota; Bacilli; Caryophanales; Staphylococcaceae
Description: partial 16S ribosomal RNA
Rfam family: Bacterial small subunit ribosomal RNA
Source: RNAcentral